GUGCGGAGGAAGGAAUGCGCAGAUAGAUGCUGGAGUAACUCAGCGGGGCAGGCAGGCAGACAGACAGACAGGGCAGCUCUGGAGAGACCCUGGCCCUCUACCGCCAGUUGGGGAUGGAAGGAAGGAGUCGCUGAGCCUCCCCACCCCUCCCUCCAUUUUGGGCUCUAGCGCAGCAAUGAGGUCAAUGUGAGAACUGCAGGCUCUUCCACAGAUGGGGCAGUGAUGGGGAUUCACCCUCAGUACAACAUGUAUCUUUGCAUGAAAUCCUUCUUAUGGAAUGUAGGACUCUUUCCAUACAUCAUCCUCAAGUAGCAUUCCUUCAUUAAUUCCCACCUGAUAUUUCACACUAUACAUCUUACGUGACUGCUUUGAGUCAGUGGACUGGUCCAUUUUCAGGUAUUCUGCAGACAACCUGAAUGUGUAAGGCUCUGCCAUAACUGACUUCAUCAGCAAGUGUGUAGAGGAGAAUAUGCCAACAAGGACAAUCCAAGUGUUUCCCAAUGAGAAGCCAUGGAUGAACCAUGAGGUGCAUUCACAGGUAAGGCCAGGUCCGCUGCAUGCAAGUCAAAUGAUCCCGAGCGAUACAAGAAAGCUCGCUAUGAUCUUCGCAAAGCUAUUAAGGAUGCCAAGAGACAAUACCAGGACAAAUGUGAGUCCCAGUAUAAUCAUUCGGAUACACACUGAAUGUGGCAAGGUCUAAAUACUGGCUGCAAAGUCAAGUCAGGCAACACCACUUGAGCCCUACCUGAUUAACUUAAUACUUCCUAUACUCGCUUUGAGCAGAAGGCCAAUGGAGCAAUAUCAACUGUCCCAUCAGCCUCAAGUGUGCCUCUUCCCAUGGUCACUGUUGCAGAAAUUAGAUCGGCCUUCCUGAAAGUGAACCCACGGAAAGCAUCUGGCCCGGACAGAGACCCUGGCCUUGUCCUUUGAAGGUGCGCGGACCAACUAGUGGGGGUAUUCUGGGACAACUUUGAUAUCUCCUUACUCGGUUCUGAGGUACUCACCUGCUUCACGAAGACCACUAUCAUCCCAGUGCCGAAGAGAAGAUCUCAUUCCUUAACGAUUACUGUACAGUGGCCUUGACAUCCACCAUCAUGAAGUGCUUUGAGAAGCUGCAGGAGAGGAUGAGAAUAAACUCAACAUUCACAAAGCAAAAGACUUUUGCCAACCUGUUUCAACUGUAAAAUACCAUCCUCUGACACUAAAAGUUCCCAACAAUAACCUGGAAAAUCUUUGCAUUUUUCACCUCUGGCAUUAAUUUUCAUCUUCCACAUAUCUGGUUAUCACCAUCUUCUUUACAGUUCGCAAAACUGCCAGAUUUGAGUCACAUGCAAAUUUAAAAUUAUGGAUUGCGGCCAAAGUCCAGGUCAUAAACCAUAACAGUCAAUGGCCUUAACACUGUUUCUUAGGUAUACAUUAUAGUGUUAUAGCAGAACUACCUGGAUGUGGUGCUUUGUUAUUAUUUACAGAGCACUGCUGAGGAAUGAAUAGUAUUGUUACAAAAGGUUACAUUUCUGACGCUCUGUUGUCUGUUACUAAGCCAACUUUAUGUCCAUGCCAUCAAUAUUAUUAUGUUUUGCCUCAACUCUGCUGAUAAGACAUGGUACUUUAUCAAAAACCUUAUGGAAGUGAUUACAGUGACUACAUUAACCUCAUCAAUUCUAUCCAUUACCUCAUCAAAAUAUUCUAUUUAAUUCAUUAAACAUGAAUAGCUAGCAACACAUCAGUGCUGGCUUACCCCAA
Amblyraja radiata (thorny skate) is the source of this 1743-nucleotide long non-coding RNA. RefSeq lists it as uncharacterized. The transcript has 2 exons. NCBI's taxonomy places the organism in Eukaryota, Metazoa, Chordata, Chondrichthyes, Rajiformes, Rajidae. The record is from RefSeq and is a predicted model, not a curated record.